This 676-nucleotide ribosomal RNA is filed under the name uncultured bacterium. RNAcentral's name for it is "bacterial SSU rRNA". It matches the Rfam family "Bacterial small subunit ribosomal RNA", at positions 139 to 813 of the family's 1533-position model. The record is from RNAcentral.
GGGGACAACCCGCCGAAAGGCGGGCUAAACCCGCGUACAUGCCACCGGGGCAUCCCGGAGGCAGGAAAGGCUUCGGCCGGACAGGGAUGGGCAUGCGGCGCAUUAGGCAGUAGGCGGGGUAACGGCCCACCUAACCGACGAUGCGUAGGGGUUCUGAGAGGAAGGUCCCCCACACUGGUACUGAGACACGGACCAGACUCCUACGGGAGGCAGCAGUGAGGAAUAUUGGUCAAUGGUCGGGAGACUGAACCAGCCAAGCCGCGUGAGGGAUGAAGGUACAGAGUAUCGUAAACCUCUUUUGUCAGGGAACAAAGGCGGGGACGUGUCCCCGGAUGAGUGUACCUGAAGAAAAAGCAUCGGCUAACUCCGUGCCAGCAGCCGCAGUAAUACGGAGGAUGCGAGCGUUAUCCGGAUUUAUUGGGUUUAAAGGGUGCGCAGGCGGUCUGUUAAGUCAGCGGUCAAAGCCCGGGGCUCAACCCCGGCCCGCCGUUGAAACCGGCAGUCUCGAGUUGGAGAGAAGUAUGCGGAAUGCGCGGUGUAGCGGUGAAAUGCAUAGAUAUCGCGCAGAACUCCGAUUGCGAAGGCAGCAUGCCGGCUCCACACUGACGCUGAGGCACGAAAGCGUGGGUAUCGAACAGGAUUAGAUACCCUGGUAGUCCACGCAGUAAACGAUGAA